Molecule: long non-coding RNA, 1990 nt
Organism: Brassica napus (rape)
Lineage: Eukaryota; Viridiplantae; Streptophyta; Magnoliopsida; Brassicales; Brassicaceae
Exons: 4
Source: RefSeq, a predicted model, not a curated record
AUUCUUAAAUUUUUUUUUCUUUCUGUUAUUUGAAAAAAAAAAUUAAAAAUGAAUCAAUCGCGAGCGUCAUAUUUCUGUGGAAUCCGCAAACAUUACAACAAACUUCUGUAAAACGUUUCUUAUUUGGCGACAUUAAAGUACGGUUUUUACAAAAAGGUAAUGGGGUCCACGCGGUAACAAUCCUCCUUCCACCACCGAUAAUCAUGCUUUAAGGGUGGGCGAAAAGCCGAACCAAUCAAACCAACUGAACCAAAACCGAUCCAAACUAAACUAAACCAAACCAAAAUCUAUUUAUCAAAUAGUUUGCUUUAACAUUUUUCCAAUCCAAACCAACUGAAUUAAACUGAACCGAGUAACCAAUAUAUUUUUGUUAUUAUUUGAAUUAUACAUACUAACAAAGUACAAUAUACUAAAAACCUAAGACUAAAGUUCCUAUUAAAGUUGGUAACGAUGUUGUUUUUUUUUUAUUUUUCUAUUUAUUUUAGUUAACUUUAGUUUGAUUGUAUUUUUAUAAAAAGAAAAUUUGUUGGGUUUUAAUGAAAUCUUUUUUGUUCAUUUUUUUAUGAAUUUUUUGGGUAAAAACAAUUAUUUUAGAUUCAUUCGAGAGAAUCGUCCUAAUAAUAAUCAUUAAAUAGCUAAACCCAAAUGUUAUAGUAUUUUUGAUUAAGUAUAUUUUCUAUAUUCCAACCUAAACUUUUGGUUACUUCGAUUAAUUUAAAUUGGAUUUUUUUUUAAAUCAAACUAAGCUAUUGCCAAAUAUAUGACCGGUUCAAUAAUAGCUAUUAAGAUAAGUAGAUAGGCUAAAUAUGUGAAGAGGGUUCAGUGGCAUCAGUUCAUGGCGCUGGAACUGGAAGAGACUAGUUCCCAUUUUGAACAGUUUUAAGAGAAACUAGCAUAAGCGUAAUGCCUUCAUCUAUCGAGUCCCUCUCAAAACUAGUAAUGCUGGACUUAGGGAACUGCAAAUUGCUUCAGAAUUUUCUAGUAAAGAUCUACAACAUGGAGUCUCUUCGACAGCUCAAUCUUUCUGGCUGCAAAGCGCUCAAGAGCUUUCCUGAGAUCCGAAACCGAGUUGAGAAUCUCCAGUAUCUCUAUUUAAGCGGUACAGGCCGUACAGUCAUUGAGGAAUUACACACAGUGCCAUCCCAAAACUUUACGAGGCUUAAAGCCUGUCAAGAUAUGUGGCCCUUAUAAAUAAAAUUGUUAAUAACAAAAGCGUAUGAAAUGGUUUUGCUAUUGCUCGAACUAGGCACAAGAAAAUCCAACUUAUCUUCCUAAACCAUUUAAGCAACCUACAAUUUUGGUUAGUGUGACCUAUAUUUUGGUUAAUGUAGCCUAUAUUUCAUUUUUAUAUUUGUGGCCUGAAGCCAAUGCUUCAUCUGCCUUAAGGGAAGGACGGGCCUGAUUACACACGUCACUUUCUAACAUGGUUUGUCUAAAAGUACUUCAAGUGAGCAAUAGCCUUAAGCCUUUUUUAGCCUGAAGGACUUUAAGGAUCUGAAGGUUGUUGAAAUAGAGGAAGAGAUUCACUUAUCCUCUUGAGGAUGAAUAUAGUUGCAGCAUUCUUCAUUUCAACCCCUAGAUUCAUAAUCUUCUUCUUAAAGUAUAUUCCAACACUUCCUCUAAGCUUGUACUCUGGGAUUCCUAGAUUUUCGUUUGGUUUGAAAGUUCCUUUCACGACAUCUAUAUAACUCCAUGUAUCUUCUCAGACGAGUUUUGUGUAAAAUCAUUGUCAUCUCUUCAACCAUCUUCACUGAAAUUGAGAUUCAACCAAAGACGAGGCAAUGCCCAUUCAGAUGAGAUUUAAAUUAAAUGUUACAGGUAAGAAAAUCAGCAGAGGCCAGUGUUGGUUGUGAUAGAGUGUAGUGAGUGCAGCUUCUCCCUUAGCGCAAUGAGCUGAGCCCUUAGAAGGCUGUUGUGAUAUUCGAUAUCCAUGUAAGCAUUGGAAACAACUACAAUCUAGUUAGCAAUGUAAGAGUUCUCUUGCACAAGA